Molecule: ribosomal RNA, 1152 nt
Filed under: Neochloris conjuncta
Lineage: Eukaryota; Viridiplantae; Chlorophyta; Chlorophyceae; Sphaeropleales; Neochloridaceae
Description: bacterial SSU rRNA
Rfam family: Eukaryotic small subunit ribosomal RNA
Source: RNAcentral
CACGUGCAGUUAUUUCACUCCUCAGCAUUCCACCGACCAUUCGCGCACGCCGAUACUCGAUCCGAAGCGUACUAUGCUGUCCAUACAACCUUGAUGUAUUCGUAGUCCACGAUCCGUCGUGAGAUCUUAGACCUCCCUUUCCGGGAAGGUCUCGGAUAAUUCUGGGUCGGAUCCGUUGAUAAUUAGAAAAUGAGAUUUCAAAGAAGCCUGCCUCUGAACAUUUAGCAGGGAGAUCCCGAUAGAGGUCCGCCCUUUCUUGUGGUCGUAGGACCCGAGUAUAGAUUAAGAGGGCCCUUGGGGGCUUUCGUAUUUCAUUGUUAAAGGUGAAUUUCGGAUUUUUGAGAGAAGAAAUAAUUGAAAGCCUUUCCCAGGGAGUUUUUCCUUAUCAAAAACGAAAGUGGGGGCUCGAAGAGAUUAGAAACCGUAGUAGUCUCAACCAUAAACGUGCCGACUAGGGAUAGCAGAUGUUCCAUUGAUGACUCUGCCAGCACCUUAUGUGAAAACAAAGUUUUUGGGUUCCCGGGGGGAGUAUGGUCGCAAGGCUGAAACUUAAAGGAAUUGACGGAAGGGCACCACCCGGGCGUGGAGCUGCGGCUUUAUUUUGACUCAACACGGGAAAACUUACCAGGUCCAGACAUAGUGAGGAUUGACAGAUUGAGAGCUCUUUCUUGUUUCUAUGGGUGGUGGUGCAUGGCCGUUCUUAGUUGGUGGGUGGCCUUGUCAGGUUGAUUCCGGUAACGAACGAGACCUCAGCUCCUAAAUAGUCCAAUCCGCCUUUCGGCGGUAUGCUGACUUCUCAGAGGGACUAUUGGCGUUCUAGCCAAUGGAAGUAUGAGGCAAUAACAGGUCUGUGAUGCCCUAGAUGUUCUGGGCCGCACGCGCGCUACACUGAUGCGUUCAACGAGCCUAUCCUUGACCGAGAGGUCCGGGUAAUCUUUGAAACCGCAUCGUGAUGGGGCUAGACUAUUGCAAUUAUUAGUCUUUAACGAGGAAUUCCUAGUAAAUGCGAUUCAUCAGAUCGCGUUGAUUACGUCCCUGCCCUUUGUACACACCGCCCGUCGCUCCUACCGAUUGGGUGUGCUGGUGAAGUGUUUGGAUCGGCAAACAGGGGGGCAACUCGACAUGCCCGAGAAAAUCCCUAAACCCCUCCCU